Molecule: ribosomal RNA, 249 nt
Filed under: uncultured bacterium
Lineage: Bacteria
Description: partial 16S ribosomal RNA
Rfam family: Bacterial small subunit ribosomal RNA
Source: RNAcentral
CGUUCUAUCAGCUAGUUGGUAGGGUAAUGGCCUACCAAGGCUACGACGGAUAGCUGGUCUGAGAGGACGAUCAGCCACACUGGGACUGAGACACGGCCCAGACUCCUACGGGAGGCUGCAGCAGGGAAUAUUGCGCAAUGAGCGAAAGCUUGACGCAGCGACACCGCGUGUGGGAUGACGGAUCUAGGUUUGUAAACCACUUUCAGGAGGGAAGAAAAUGACGGUACCUCCACAAGAAGCCCCGGCCAA